Molecule: ribosomal RNA, 371 nt
Filed under: uncultured bacterium
Lineage: Bacteria
Description: partial 16S ribosomal RNA
Rfam family: Bacterial small subunit ribosomal RNA
Source: RNAcentral
CCUACGGGGGUCAGCAGUGAGGAAUAUUGGUCAAUGGGCGCAAGCCUGAACCAGCCAAGUCGCGUGAGGGAUGACGGUCCUAUGGAUUGUACACCUCUUUUGUCGGGGAGCAAAGCGCGGUACGAGUACCGUGAAGGAGAGUACCCGAAGAAAAAGCAUCGGCUAACUCCGUGACAGCAGCCGCGGUAAUACGGAUGAUGCGAGCGGUAUCCGGAUUUAUUGGGUUGAAAGGGUGCGUAGGCGGAGUAGUAAGUCAGCGGUAAAAAUGCGGUGCUCAAACCCGUAUCGACGUUGAAAAUGCGGGUGUAGAGAGAGCGAGAAUUAUGCGGAAGGCGUGGUGGAGCGGUGAAAUGCAUAGAUAUCACGCAGAA